RNA transcript from Diospyros lotus (date-plum), 3110 nucleotides. It is a transcript of the gene named SUN domain-containing protein 1-like, with no coding region annotated. The transcript has 3 exons. Lineage: Eukaryota; Viridiplantae; Streptophyta; Magnoliopsida; Ericales; Ebenaceae. The record is from RefSeq and is a predicted model, not a curated record.
GCAAGGCGAGAGGGAACAACUGUUCAAAAAUUUCAAAUUCCCAAAAGAUAACCCUAAUAAAAGUCACUUAUUAACUUCCGACGCUGGGACUCAGAUUCGACAAUAAACAUUGAACCGCUUGUGAUCGGUGGUUAUAAUAAAUUUUCUGCACUCGUCUCCCUCUGAUUUCCCCCAAUCAUUUUCUUUCAAUUCUCGGUUUCUGCCAUUUUUUCCUGAUUUGAUAAUUCUUGCUGUCAGUUAGGGUUCCGUUUCAUCAUUUGGUUCUGAGAUUUGGCCAAAUUUUCAAUGUCCGCUUCAACGGUUUCUAUCACCGCCAACACCGCCGCCCGGAGGAGGCCUGUGGUUGCCGGAGACAAGAAGACCGGCAUAGAAUUGGUGACCACCGACCACGUCGCCGCGGCUACCGCUGCGACUAGCGGCGAUGGCGAUGACAAAUUGGUCUCCAAUGGUAAAGAUCUUAGCCACUCGAUUAGGGGCGAAUCUGUUUUGGAGAGAUCGAGAGACGCGGUUCAGAUCAAGAAGCUUGAACCUCGCCGUACCAACCGGAAGGCGGUUACGAAGCCCGAGAAGCCCCGUUGGCAUACCGUCAUCAGCAUCUUCACCAAGAACGUGUUGCUUCUACUUGUGUUGGUGGGUUUGGCUCAGAUGAUCCGCAGAUUGGUCCUUAAUCCAGACAAUGCUCCUGCCAUUUCUUCUUCUCCUUCUACGGAGUUUGAGCGCCGCAUAGCGGAAGUCGAGGCUUUCUUGAAGACCACGACGAAAAUGAUGCAGGUCCAAGUGGAGGUUGUGGACAAGAAGAUUGAGAAUGAAGUCUCUGGUCUCAGAUUGGAAUUGAAUAAGAAGAUUGAGGCUACAAACGCCGAGCUUGGCAGUGAGCUGAAGAAGUUGGAUGGUAGGACUGGGGGUUUGGAGAAGACUUUUGGUGAGUUUAGGUCUAAAGACUGGUUAGCCAAGGAAGAUUUUGAGAAAUUUGUUGAGGAGUUCAAGAAAGCUAAGGGAACUGGAAAUAGCUUUGAGGAUGUAAAGCUAGACGAGAUAAGAGCGUUUGCAAGGGAGAUAGUUGAGAGGGAAAUUGCAAAGCAUGCGGCUGAUGGGCUAGGUAGAGUAGACUACGCUCUAGCUUCAGGUGGGGCAAUGGUUGUUAAACACUCUGAAGCCUUCUAUGGUGCCGGGAAAAGCAGCUUCAUUUCUUUAGGGAGCCGGAAUGGAGUACACAAGGAUGCACAGAAGAUGCUAAGGCCCAGUUUUGGAGAGCCUGGUCAGUGUUUUCCGUUCAAAGGAAGCAGUGGUUUUUUGCAGAUCAAGCUUAGGACCGCCAUUAUUCCAGAGGCUAUAACUUUGGAGCAUGUUGACAAGCAUACAAUCGGUUUACGAGUCCUUGUGGAUGGGUGUUGCUUCUAAUAGAUUUGGGGACGGGAAUUCUGGUUUGGAUCCUCAAUAGUAUGCUAAGCCCGCAUGUGUUGCUUAUCUCUGGCUACCGAGGUGGUGUGUUGGCCUUUUGGAAGCAAGCAGAGGUUAGCUGGAUAUGGAGGGGUCUGUUGUCUGCCAUUGAACUUGAGGGCAGUAUAUCGGGGAAUUUUGAUCAGGGUUUUCCUUAUCUGAUUUGUUUUGAUGGGCUUAAUAGAGGCCUAAUCUCCCCAUCUGAUCCUUGUAGUGGUACAUAAGAGAGGAGAGAGCAGAUUUGAAAGAAGGGGAGAAACUGGAGGAAGAGUCAAACAGAGAAUUAGUACCAAUAUAAUAGGCAAAAAAACAAGAAAAUGCAAAGAAAGAAUCCAAAGGGACUACAGUAAUGAGAGGAGAUAUGCAGAAGAAGAUGGAGAAGAGAAGCAGCAUCAGAACAGCAUAGGGAGGUCGCAAAGAGAAUAGCCAGAGCACAAAGAGGAAGAAGCAACAAGCAAAUAUCAGUCCAGCAAGAGGGGAGGAUAGAAUUUGCAGAAAUUAUGAGCAGCCCAGCAAAGAGAAGAGGUUAAAAUCUUCAGAAAUUAUAAGAAUGAACCAGCAAAGAAAAACCAGAAUGAAGAGGAGAUAAGAAAGGAAAGAGAGACAAGGGAACAAAAUUCUCAAAGUUCCAAAUAUUUAGCUUACAUUCUCUCCAAAGUUCAAAUAUUGUUUUUUUUUUUUUUUUGCAAGAAAAAACUCAUUUUAUCUAUUUUUUGAUAGUUAAUCAACCUCUAUUUUAGGCUUGAUAAGACUCUCAAAAGUACCAAGAGCUGUUUUAAAAUUGAUCUUACUGAUCUAGUACGUUACUUCUAUCAUAUCAGCAAUUCUGUGAAAGUUUAAUUAAAUCAAAAUAUAUCAAGAUAAAAUAAAACUCGUUAGUAAAGGCUUGUUUGUUCAGACUGAGGAAGAGCCAAACCCAUUGUGGUGAAUACUUGAAAUUUCUCAGCUCAAUAGAAGAGCUGUAAGGGAUCUGGGCGUGCACCUCAACAUGCUGAUGUAAUAGACCUAGCAAUGUGGAGGUGAUAUGACGAAACUUGGUAGGCACCACAAAAUCAGCUUUUGCUGUUGAAUUUUUGGACAUAUUGGAUUUCACUUGUCAAGGUAUGAAGGCGAGAGGAUUUGGAACUUCCUCAGCUCAGAAAUUUUGAGAAAUUGGGGAGGUUUUUGUGAUUUAGUACACAAUGUACUAAUAUGUAGCUGUAUUCUAGUGGUGGGAAUACAGUUGAUUUUGGCAAGAAUAGGGUCUCUCUUGGUCUUUUUGGGUGAUGAAUUGUAAUGUAAUGCUGGGGGUUGAAGUCUUGUGGAACUUAGUUGCAUUUGAGAUGGAUUGUAGGUGCAUUAGGUCUGGAGAAAGUGUUUCCUAACUGCAACUUCUAUAAUCUUCAACAGUUAUGGUUUCCUUUUGUAAACCUUCGCUUACUAUUUAAAAUCAGAUCCAGAUCAAGUUUACUUGAGUUGGGGAGAUUGAAGAGUGUGCUUGCAGGAAGGAUGACCAUUGUUAUGUUGCAUUCAGACGUUGAAGAUGAGAAAGCGUUGCUUACGACAGAUCGAGCGCCCCCAGGGACUGCAGGGUUUCGGGAUGGCUCCAAGGGGACGAUCCUGCUGAUACCGCCCUGGAAACAGAGAAGAAGUUUCUUUUGACCGAGUUUACCUAUGACCUAGAGAAGAGC